RNAcentral lists this ribosomal RNA (526 nucleotides) under uncultured bacterium. RNAcentral's name for it is "bacterial SSU rRNA". It matches the Rfam family "Bacterial small subunit ribosomal RNA", at positions 984 to 1509 of the family's 1533-position model. The record is from RNAcentral.
ACAUCCAGCGAACUUGGCAGAGAUGCCUUGGUGCCUUCGGGAACGCUGAGACAGGUGCUGCAUGGCUGUCGUCAGCUCGUGUUGUGAAAUGUUGGGUUAAGUCCCGNAACGAGCGCAACCCUUAUCCUUUGUUGCCAGCGAUUCGGUCGGGAACUCAAAGGAGACUGCCGGUGAUAAACCGGAGGAAGGUGGGGAUGACGUCAAGUCAUCAUGGCCCUUACGAGUAGGGCUACACACGUGCUACAAUGGCGCAUACAAAGAGAAGCGACCUCGCGAGUAGCAAGCGGACCUCAUAAAGUGCGUCGUAGUCCGGAUCGGAGUCUGCAACUCGACUCCGUGAAGUCGGAAUCGCUAGUAAUCGUGGAUCAGAAUGCCACGGUGAAUACGUUCCCGGGCCUUGUACACACCGCCCGUCACACCAUGGGAGUGGGUUGCAAAAGAAGUAGGUAGCUUAACCUCCGGGAGGGCGCUUACCACUUUGUGAUUCAUGACUGGGGUGAAGUCGUAACAAGGUAAGCGUAGCGAG